RNAcentral lists this ribosomal RNA (364 nucleotides) under uncultured fungus. Its description in RNAcentral is "partial 18S ribosomal RNA". The stretch from base 119 to 272 matches the Rfam family "5.8S ribosomal RNA". The record is from RNAcentral. Lineage: Eukaryota; Fungi.
UUUCGUUGCUUCGGCAGGAUUAAAAAGGGCGCUUCGGUGCCCCGGAUUCAGGCGCCUGCCGGGGGACCUAAACUCUUGUAUUAUAGUGGGGUUCUGAGUGGAUUACACAAAUAAUCAAAACUUUCAACAACGGCCCCAAUGGUUCUGGCAUCGAUGAAGAACGCAGCGAAAUGCGAAAAGUAAUGUGAAUUGCUUCGGUCAGUGAAUCAUCGAAUCUUUGAACGCACAUUGCGCCCGCCAGUAUUCUGGCGCCCGUGCCUGUCUGAGCGUCAUUUCAACCCUCAUGCCCCAGCGGUGUGGUGUUGGGGAUCGGCCUGAGCUAACGCCCGGGCCGUCCCCUAAAUCUAGUGGCGGACUCGCUGUA